RNAcentral lists this unclassified non-coding RNA (1060 nucleotides) under Hevea brasiliensis (rubber tree). The record is from RNAcentral. Lineage: Eukaryota; Viridiplantae; Streptophyta; Magnoliopsida; Malpighiales; Euphorbiaceae.
GGCUGUGGCUGACUGUACAAAGGUAUAAUUUAUUUCCCGCAUAAACUCAAUGAUUCCUACUCAUUUAUGUCAUCUUAUUAAUUUAUUUGUAAUGGUUGAUUUAUGAAUUUGAAGUGUUUUAUUUAGGAACUAAGUUGUUGCCAUCAUGAGUGGAAAGAUAGUGAGUUGUUGAUUAGCAUUUCAGUUGUAAUAACUUGUUAGGUUACCGCUCUUCUUUAAUGGGUUGCGCAUAAAAGUAGUAGUGAAGAAUUGAUUGGUUUAGCCUCUGCUGAAUUUUAGAAUCAUUUUCUCUUUCUAAAAUUUUUCAGAUCUCCAUUACAGUUUUAUUUCCUUUCAUUAUUUUCUCCCUUUUUUUUUUUCCUCAUAUCUCAGAUUUCCCCCGUCUUCUCAGUUUCUUUAGUUUUUUAACCUAUCAAACAUCCUAGUUAGGCCUAAAGAUCUCAGAUCCUUACAUUUUGUUAAAUGUAUAUCAAAAUCCAUGAAUUGAGCUUACCCAUUAUAUGAACGAAUAAGAAUGACUUAGUCUUUUUUAGGCUGUAUAGAGAAUAAAAGAAUCAGCCAUUUGAUGUGUUGUGUAGUUAGACCCUUGAAAAAAAAAAGCAAUAUUAUAAUGGUUAAUUAAGUGUAUAGGCUCUGCUAGUUUAGUCUUUGGGGUACUGUCUCCAAGUACCCUAAUUGGAUGAUCUGGUUCUUAUCUUGUUUUGGUCUAUGACAGGAUUUGCUUGGACCUGUGCCAUGUAAUUGUAAAUGUUGCAGAACGUAUUAAAAAAUAAACAAAUAAAUCCUAGUGAAUGCAAAGCAAGUAACUAAGUUUUGAUCAUUUGAAGGUUAGCAACUUGCCUAAUGGUGCAAUAUUGGCUGGUGUUGAUGCAUUGCACAACAUGCUGACCAAUGAAGUAAAUAAAUGUGCUAUUACUUACUUUUGUCUUUGAGGGUUUUGGACCUUGCUUUCUUCAUGUUAAUCAUAUAGCAUUUUUUUUUUCUCAAUGUCCUACUUUUCUGGUGUAAGAAAUUUAUAGUCUAUUUCAUGUCGAGACAGGUGCUUGAACAUGAUGAUGCA